This is a long non-coding RNA of Solanum dulcamara, 2913 nucleotides long. RefSeq lists it as uncharacterized. The record is from RefSeq and is a predicted model, not a curated record. The transcript has 5 exons. Lineage: Eukaryota; Viridiplantae; Streptophyta; Magnoliopsida; Solanales; Solanaceae.
CCCGACAACCGUCUCUAUAGAGCUUCUAUGGCAGCGAAUUUUAGAAUUGUUGCAAUAGACAACUCAAUGGCUACGGUUAUUUUAGGAAAAAUAUUGUACUUUUGAUUUUUGUCCCCAAAAUAUAUUUCCCUCCACAAAUUUUGCAAGCGCUAAAUAUUUUCAUCUCAUUAAAGAUUCUAAAAGAAAAAGACCUUUUCCAGAAAACCCAUUUUCAUUCAAAAUCACUAUGCUAUUGAGUUCCGGAAAACAAUGGGGAAGCUUUUGAUGAAGAAAACAACAGUGAACGGCGAGCUCUCUGGUGAAUGACGAGCUCUCUGGCGAAGCUCGUUGGUAUUCUUGGACAGCAAGUUCUUAUUCUACAGUGUGAAGCUCUAAUGGUCUUCUUCAACAGCGAACUUUUGUUUAUAAAGAUAUAAAGUCAUUCUCAAAAUGUCUCUGAACAUGAACUAAAAUCCAUUGUUGGUUCGAAGCAUUCUUUGACAUCUCGAUACGGCACGUCUAUCUUGGUGACCAGGUAACGUAUCCAUUUAUAUUUGUAUUCAUUUUUCAAUCUACGACAAUAAAUGUUGAAUAACUGGCAAGCACCAUUCAAAUUAUCAAGUGUCAUGAAAAGCGAUAACCAAUAAUUGAUGGACAGUUAGUCUUAAGCACCACAAUCCCCGGGUUUGAAGUUAUUCACUCUUAAGUUGCUAUUGUUAAGCAAAUUAGGUAAUAGACACCCCCAGUGAAUAACCUUAUUAGGACUCACAUGCUAUGUUAGAGUAAACCUUCAACCAGUUGAAACAUAGGAUUUUAAGGGUACACUUACAUAAAUAAUUUUUUAUCGUGAAAGACAUGUCAUACAAAAAUCUAUUUCAUAGUUAAGUGGCAGAAUCAACUCUCUAUCCUUUGCCUGCUUUGCCAACAAAUCAUUUUAUUUUUUUAUUUAUUUGACCUCUUUAACAUAUGAUUACAUGAGAUAUGUUAAUCAAGUUUGCACAUGAAACCUUGUAUAGCUUGUCUUGCUAUUCUAUUGUCUCCUUUGUUAUUUCGCAAACCUUCAACAAUAUGUAAUUAUUGUUAAUUUUAGUGACGAAUUUCAGUUUUGCACGAGACUUCUAAGUCAUAUGUUGUGUAUGUAUAAUGUAUUGCCUUAUUUUUAUUGAGCUACAUUAAGUAAAAGUGUUGAGUGAUUUUAUCUCGUCCUCAAUAGUUAAAAGAAAAUAAAACUUGAAAUUGCAAUGAUGUGACUUUCUCAUUUCUGUGACAAAUUUGUUGGGCAAGAGUCAAGACUUAUUGUUCCUACAAUUUGUUGUAGACAAUCCAAAGCUGACAAGAUAACGUAGAAUAUUGGAAUACUAAUUUUCUAUAAUUAGUUUUGAUUAUGAAUUUUUGCCCCAUUUGUACAAAGCUUCUUAAAUGGUAGAAGUUGUUAUACCACUUAACUUCUCAAUAUUUGUUGGGUUCUACGAUUAACACUGCCAUGUUUGGUGUGCAAUUAAUGUGGAGGUUUGAGAUUUGGUUAAUAAUUCAAGAUAAUUUAUAACUUUGAAAGGUUAAGUUCUCUUGAUAUUGCUUGUACUCGUGAAUUUAUUGGCUUUAAUGUUUUGCUCAUGUCAUGUAGGAUAUUCAAUGGAUAUUGGAGAUAAAAGUUGGAUGAAUCUCCUAAGAUCCACCAUGAAUGUAUUCGUGUCGUUAAUGAUUUUCUUGAUAAGUCAUUUGAAAGCUCGUAAAUGGACCAAUAAAACUCCAUAUUCUGAUUUCUUUAUUUUUGAGAUUCUAAAUUUCUGCUCAUUUUCUGCUGCUAGAUUCUUGAUUUCUGCUUAUUUGUUGUGUUUUUGUUUCUUUGUCAUACAUGUUGGAACUAUAGUUGUAUUAGUUAUUAAGAUUCUGUGUUUAUUUUUUUGCUACACUUCUCUUUGCAUCUCCCAUUUAGGCCAUUGAGUAGCAGAAUCUCGAAAGUUGGAUUCCAAGCUUGAGUCCAUUGGUUGCUAUUCAUCUUCGCGAAGCUAAAAUCUUCCUUGGUUAAUGGUUGAAUAUUGAUCUUUUGACCAGUGAGUUUUUUCAAGUAAGAAACAAAAGAAUAUGCUGCUGCUACUGAUUGAUUUCAUCAGAGGAGCAGCCUUUCGAGGAGCAGCCUCUUGACCAGCAACCUGUAGAGGAUCAAGUGCAAAUGAAUUCAGUCACUCCUCCAACAGAUGAACAACUUGAAGAACAAGGCUGAAAUAGAGAAAAUUGAAAAACAAAUGAGCGCAGUUAGUCUGUUGAUGCAUUUUCAGCCGUCAUGGGUCCUAAACAUCCAGGACGUCUAAAUCUCUAUGGAGUGGGUGUUACAAAGACUACUUUAAAAAAGUGUGAAAUUCUGAACCAACUUUAAAUACAACAAAUGAUGUAGUGCAACAAAUGCAAGAAAGGAUGCAAAAAAUGGAGAAACAAAUGGAGGAACAAAAGAGAACUAUGUGACAAGAAGUUAUUGCAGAUAUAAUACAACUCAACAUGCAGGAUUAAUUGAUCCCUAACAUACUAGCAGCAUUGUCCAUUCCUUCACCAAGAGAAGCUACUUCUACUCAAGCGGCUGAACAAGGUGAUGAACUCGAACAGGGGGAUGAAAAGAGUACUGAAGGCUUGACAUAGGAGCUGAAUUGGAUUAAUGUUAACUUUAUCUAUGUUCUAGAAAUCUUUUAUUUUGGAAGAUUGUUGGAUUACAAUUGCACACGCAAGUGUACUUAGUCUCUAAAGUGGUAAAGCGGCUCUUUCGAGCUAGAUGUCGAACCCACAGGGAUCUUAAUAAGGCUAAUUUCUUCUUUUCAACGAACUACACUAAUUACGAUCGUGUGAAGGAUUUGAGAUAAUUUGUUAAUAGGAUGUAAGAAAAUUUUCUACGAAUAAGAGCAAUGCAGUAGUUAUGUAUAUUAAUCAGAUUACAAGAAAUUC